This is a long non-coding RNA of Xenia sp. Carnegie-2017, 165 nucleotides long. RefSeq lists it as uncharacterized. NCBI's taxonomy places the organism in Eukaryota, Metazoa, Cnidaria, Anthozoa, Malacalcyonacea, Xeniidae. The transcript has 3 exons. The record is from RefSeq and is a predicted model, not a curated record.
UAGGAAGGAGGCCUCCUUCGUACAGCCAGAGUUAGUCUACUGGCCUCAAAAUACAUACAUUCCCCAACAGACCCAAUGUUACAUGGGUUAUUCACCAGUGAUGGACCCUAUUUAUUGGAAUUGUUAUCCCUACGCCAAUCAGCAAGUUGCACAUGCCAGCAAUGU